RNAcentral lists this ribosomal RNA (229 nucleotides) under uncultured bacterium. RNAcentral's name for it is "partial 16S ribosomal RNA". It matches the Rfam family "Bacterial small subunit ribosomal RNA", at positions 568 to 796 of the family's 1533-position model. The record is from RNAcentral.
UGCGCAGGCGGAACGAUAAGUCAGUGGUGAAAUCCUACGGCUCAACCGUAGAACUGCCAUUGAUACUGUUGUUCUUGAGUACAGUUGUAGUGGGCGGAAUAUGUCAUGUAGCGGUGAAAUGCAUAGAUAUGACAUAGAACACCGAUCGCGAAGGCAGCUCACUAAGCUGAAACUGACGCUGAGGCACGAAAGCGUGGGGAGCAAACAGGAUUAGAUACCCUGGUAGUCC